ACCAUAAACGAUGCCGACUAGGGAUCGGUGAACGUCGAUUGUGACUUCAUCGGCACCUUACGAGAAAUCAAAGUUUUUGGGUUCUGGGGGGAGUAUAGUCGCAAGGCCGAAACUUAAAGGAAUUGACGGAAGGGCACCACCAGGAGUGGAGCCUGCGGCUUAAUUUGACUCAACACGGGAAAACUCACCAGGUCCAGACAUAGUAAGGAUUGACAGAUUGGGAGCUCUUUCAUGAUUCUAUGGGUGGUGGUGCAUGGCCGUUCUUAAUUGGUGGAGUGAUUUGUCUGGUUAAUUCCGAUAACGAACGAGACCUUAACCUGCUAACUAGUUUACUGAACGCGAGUUCUGGCAAACUUCUUAGAGGGACUAUCUGUGACUAACAGAUGGAAGUUUGAGGCAAUAACAGGUCUGUGAUGCCCUUAGAUGUUUUGGGCCGCACGCGCGCUACACUGAUAAAGGCAACGAGUAUUCACCUUAACCGGAAGGUUUGGGUAAUCUUUUGAAACUUUAUCGUGAUGGGGAUAGAGCAUUGCAAUA
RNAcentral lists this ribosomal RNA (537 nucleotides) under uncultured fungus. RNAcentral's name for it is "SSU rRNA". It matches the Rfam family "Eukaryotic small subunit ribosomal RNA", at positions 1029 to 1591 of the family's 1831-position model. Lineage: Eukaryota; Fungi. The record is from RNAcentral.